AGGUGUCAUUACUUUGAGAGGAAAACAAGAUGCAAACGGUUUUGACCAUAGUGUCCCUGAUGCCUGACACCCCUGCCCCCAACCAGCUGCCUGCCCAGAUGCCUCAGCCCCCGACGUGGGCCAUGUCCAAGCCACCAGGAACACAGUGCCAAGGAAAACCUAAGCUUGGGCAGGGGAGCCAUAUCCUAUGGUUUCACUCCCCAAUCUCGCCAGCGAGGCGCGGAUGGCACUUACUUCCCCAUCCCAACUCCGGCCUGGGUACUUACUGAGGGCCUACUAAGUGCAGAGCGUGGUGCCAGGCUCUGGGGAGGUAGUGUGAGCAGGAGUGGCCUGCUGCUCCUGGAGCUCACAGUCGUGGGGAAAGCAGACUAGAAAACAAGAAUGAAAGCAGGGCCCUCAACGCUGCUCUCUCCCCAGCACCUACAACAGUGCCUGGCUCACAGGUCAGCUUUUUCACUCUUCACCUGCCUGGAGAGGAGGGGUGUUCUUUCUUCAGCUACCGGAGCCUUGGUUAGAACAGGAAAUCUGGCAUCAGACCUGAGUUUGAAUCCCUCUGGCUCCACAAUUUGACAUCUGCGUGAUCUUGGGUAAGUUACUUCACCUCACUCACCCUUUGGACCCUCAGCUUCACAAAGGGAAGACAAGCACUUGGCACAGGUGUGCCAUGGAUUAGAAAUCAGAUGUGUAAAGCACCUACCACAGCAUCUGGC
This is a long non-coding RNA of Manis javanica (Malayan pangolin), 710 nucleotides long. RefSeq lists it as uncharacterized. NCBI's taxonomy places the organism in Eukaryota, Metazoa, Chordata, Mammalia, Pholidota, Manidae. The record is from RefSeq and is a predicted model, not a curated record.